CUGCUGCCUCCCGUAGGAGUUUGGACCGUGUCUCAGUUCCAAUGUGGGGGACCUUCCUCUCAGAACCCCUAUCCAUCGUCGUCUUGGUGGGCCGUUACCCCGCCAACUAACUAAUGGAACGCAUCCCCAUCGAUAACCGAAAUUCUUUAAUAUCAAGAUCAUGCGACCUUGAUAUCCUAUCGGAUAUUAAUCUUUCUUUCGAAAGGCUAUCCCCGAGUUAUCGGCAGGUUGGAUACGUGUUACUCACCCGUGCGCCGGCCGCCAUCGGAAG
Molecule: ribosomal RNA, 271 nt
Filed under: uncultured bacterium
Lineage: Bacteria
Description: partial 16S ribosomal RNA
Source: RNAcentral